RNAcentral lists this ribosomal RNA (693 nucleotides) under uncultured bacterium. RNAcentral describes it as "bacterial SSU rRNA". It matches the Rfam family "Bacterial small subunit ribosomal RNA", at positions 32 to 715 of the family's 1533-position model. The record is from RNAcentral.
AACGCUAGCUACAGGCUUAACACAUGCAAGUCGAGGGGCAUCAGGAAGAAAGCUUGCUUUCUUUGCUGGCGACCGGCGCACGGGUGAGUAACACGUAUCCAACCUGCCCCAUACUCGGGGAUAGCCUUUCGAAAGAAAGAUUAAUAUCCGAUAGCAUAUAUUUCCCGCAUGGGUUUUAUAUUAAAGAAAUUCGGUAUGAGAUGGGGAUGCGUUCCAUUAGUUUGUUGGGGGGGUAACGGCCCACCAAGACUACGAUGGAUAGGGGUUCUGAGAGGAAGGUCCCCCACAUUGGAACUGAGACACGGUCCAAACUCCUACGGGAGGCAGCAGUGAGGAAUAUUGGUCAAUGGACGCGAGUCUGAACCAGCCAAGUAGCGUGAAGGAUGACUGCCCUAUGGGUUGUAAACUUCUUUUAUAUGGGAAUAAAGUUGUCCACGUGUGGAUUUUUGUAUGUACCAUAUGAAUAAGGAUCGGCUAACUCCGUGCCAGCAGCCGCGGUAAUACGGAGGAUCCGAGCGUUAUCCGGAUUUAUUGGGUUUAAAGGGAGCGUAGGCGGAUUGUUAAGUCAGUUGUGAAAGUUUGCGGCUCAACCGUAAAAUUGCAGUUGAUACUGGCAGUCUUGAGUGCAGUAGAGGUGGGCGGAAUUCGUGGUGUAGCGGUGAAAUGCUUAGAUAUCACGAAGAACUCCGAUUG